This 67-nucleotide transfer RNA is filed under the name Homolobus sp. QL-2013. RNAcentral describes it as "tRNA-Val". Lineage: Eukaryota; Metazoa; Arthropoda; Insecta; Hymenoptera; Braconidae. The record is from RNAcentral.
AAAAUUUUAAUUUAAAUUAAAAUUUAAUAUUUACACUAUUAAUAUAUAUAUAUAUAUAUAAAUUUUA